This is a non-coding RNA of Mycena latifolia, 89 nucleotides long. The record is from the annotation of a GenBank genome assembly. NCBI's taxonomy places the organism in Eukaryota, Fungi, Basidiomycota, Agaricomycetes, Agaricales, Mycenaceae.
GACCUAGUGGUGAAUGGAUCACACCUGCUUCUCUUGCGAUACUCAACAGUGGGCAGCGGGGGGUCCCGGUUCGAUUCCGGGCUAGGUCA